This 273-nucleotide ribosomal RNA is filed under the name uncultured prokaryote. RNAcentral's name for it is "partial 16S ribosomal RNA". It matches the Rfam family "Bacterial small subunit ribosomal RNA", at positions 524 to 798 of the family's 1533-position model. The record is from RNAcentral.
UACGUAGGGGCAAGCGUUGUCCGGAAUCACUGGGCGUAAAGGGCGCGUAGGCGGUCUUUCAAGUCAGGAGUGAAAGGCUACGGCUCAACCGUAGUAAGCCUUUGAAACUGGGAAACUUGAGUGCAGGAGAGGAGAGUGGAAUUCCUAGUGUAGCGGUGAAAUGCGUAGAUAUUAGGAGGAACACCAGUUGCGAAGGCGGCUCUCUGGACUGUAACUGACACUGAGGCACGAAAGCGUGGGGAGCAAACAGGAUUAGAUACCCUGGUAGUCCCU